ACACAUGCAGUCGAACGGUAGCACAGAGGAGCUUGCUCCUUGGGUGACGAGUGGCGGACGGGUGAGUAAUGUCUGGGAAACUGCCCGAUGGAGGGGGAUAACUACUGGAAACGGUAGCUAAUACCGCAUAACGUCGCAAGACCAAAGAGGGGGACCUUCGGGCCUCUUGCCAUCGGAUGUGCCCAGAUGGGAUUAGCUAGUAGGUGGGGUAACGGCUCACCUAGGCGACGAUCCCUAGCUGGUCUGAGAGGAUGACCAGCCACACUGGAACUGAGACACGGUCCAGACUCCUACGGGAGGCAGCAGUGGGGAAUAUUGCACAAUGGGCGCAAGCCUGAUGCAGCCAUGCCGCGUGUAUGAAGAAGGCCUUCGGGUUGUAAAGUACUUUCAGCGAGGAGGAAGGUGUUGUGGUUAAUAACCGCAGCAAUUGACGUUACUCGCAGAAGAAGCACCGGCUAACUCCGUGCCAGCAGCCGCGGUAAUACGGAGGGUGCAAGCGUUAAUCGGAAUUACUGGGCGUAAAGCGCACGCAGGCGGUCUGUCAAGUCGGAUGUGAAAUCCCCGGGCUCAACCUGGGAACUGCAUCCGAAACUGGCAGGCUAGAGUCUUGUAGAGGGGGGGUAGAAUUCCAGGUGUAGCGGUGAAAUGCGUAGAGAUCUGGAGGAAUACCGGGUGGCGAACGCGGCCCCCUGGACAAAGACUGACGCUCAGUGCGAAAGCGUGGGGAGCAAGCAGAUUAGAUACCCUGGUAGUCACGCCGUAAACAAUGUCGACUUGGGAGU
RNAcentral lists this ribosomal RNA (782 nucleotides) under uncultured bacterium. Its description in RNAcentral is "bacterial SSU rRNA". It matches the Rfam family "Bacterial small subunit ribosomal RNA", at positions 51 to 824 of the family's 1533-position model. The record is from RNAcentral.